CAAAGAAUAGUUUAAUUUAGAAUCCUAGCUUUGGGAGU
This 38-nucleotide transfer RNA is filed under the name Thunnus thynnus (Atlantic bluefin tuna). Its description in RNAcentral is "partial tRNA-Pro". The record is from RNAcentral. Lineage: Eukaryota; Metazoa; Chordata; Actinopteri; Scombriformes; Scombridae.